UUACUAAAACACAACCUGAAGCAAAUAUGAUUCUCUUCAUAUGGGCACUUUGCUUCAUCCAAGGUGUUUUGGGACAGGUUGUUGUGAAUCAGCCUGAAGUUAAAUCUGCUCAGAUUGGUCAGAGCGUCUCUAUUGACUGUAAGGUCAACACUGUAGUUUAUAGGGUUCCAACGGGUUCAACAUCUAAAGAUUACUACAUCUCCUGGUAUGUUCAGAGAGCAGAGGGUCCCCCUAAACUCCUGAUAUAUUUCACAACAAUGAAGCCCUCAGAUUCUCCAUCCAGAAUGAGUGGUGGAGGCAGUUUUCACUCUGGAGGAAAUGGUCUUGAUUUCUCUCUCACCAUUGAUAAUGUUCAUCUUGAAGAUGCAGGAGUAUAUUACUGUUCAAGUUACCAUGAGAUCACUAACAAAGCUGUGUUCACACAGUGA
Non-coding RNA from Triplophysa dalaica, 428 nucleotides. NCBI's taxonomy places the organism in Eukaryota, Metazoa, Chordata, Actinopteri, Cypriniformes, Nemacheilidae. The record is from the annotation of a RefSeq genome assembly.